GACGAACGCUGGCGGCGUGCUUAACACAUGCAAGUCGAACGGAAAGGCCCUGCUUUUGUGGGGUGCUCGAGUGGCGAACGGGUGAGUAACACGUGAGUAACCUGCCCUUGACUUUGGGAUGACUUCAGGCAACUGGGGCUAAUACCGGAUAGGAGCUCCUGCUGCAUGGUGGGGGUUGGACAGUUUCGGCGGUUGGGGAUGGACUCGCGGCUUAUCAGCUUGUUGGUUGGGGAGUGGCUUACCAAGGCUUUGACGGGUAGCCGGCCUGAGAGGGUGACCGGCCACAUUGGGACUGCGGUAGGGCCCAGACGCCUACGGUGGGCAGCAGUGGGGAAUAUUGCACAAUGGGCGGAAGCCUGAUGCAGCAACGCCGCGUGCGGGAUGACGGCCUUCGGGUUGGAAACCGCUUUCGCCUGUGACGAAGCUUGAGUGACGGUAAUGGGUAAAGAAGCACCGGCUAACUACGUG
This 468-nucleotide ribosomal RNA is filed under the name uncultured bacterium. Its description in RNAcentral is "partial 16S ribosomal RNA". It matches the Rfam family "Bacterial small subunit ribosomal RNA", at positions 28 to 507 of the family's 1533-position model. The record is from RNAcentral.